This 367-nucleotide ribosomal RNA is filed under the name uncultured organism. RNAcentral describes it as "partial 16S ribosomal RNA". It matches the Rfam family "Bacterial small subunit ribosomal RNA", at positions 527 to 896 of the family's 1533-position model. The record is from RNAcentral.
GGAGGGGGCUAGCGUUGCUCGGAAUGACUGGGCGUAAAGGGCGCGUAGGCGGUUUUUUAAGUGAGGCGUGAAAGCCCUGGGCUUAACCCAGGAAGUGCGUUUCAUACUGGAAAGCUUGAGUGCGAGAGAGGAAAGUGGAAUUCCUAGUGUAGAGGUGAAAUUCGUAGAUAUUAGGAAGAACACCAGUGGCGAAGGCGACUUUCUGGCUCGCAACUGACGCUGAGGCGCGAAAGCGUGGGGAGCAAACAGGAUUAGAUACCCUGGUAGUCCACGCCGUAAACGAUGUGUGCUAGACGUUGGAAGGGAACUUUCAGUGUCGCAGCUAACGCGUUAAGCACACCGCCUGGGGAGUACGGUCGCAAGAUUA